This is a long non-coding RNA of Papaver somniferum (opium poppy), 222 nucleotides long. RefSeq lists it as uncharacterized. Lineage: Eukaryota; Viridiplantae; Streptophyta; Magnoliopsida; Ranunculales; Papaveraceae. The transcript is spliced from 3 exons. The record is from RefSeq and is a predicted model, not a curated record.
UUAACAUUAAUUACUGGUGGAAUAUUUACAUUAUCAAACAAAAAAGGUGGCGAACAAUACGACGUUUUGGAGAAAUCGCACUUAUCAACUGCAUCGUCUUUAUUUGUAACAAAGACGCAACAGCAAUUAGAUGAAAAAGCACAAACCAAGACACUGAAUCUCCAGUUCCUCCCUACAGAUGUUAAAAACCAGUUUCGCAUGCAUAUAGAAGACGGAGAUGUG